AUGGUUGGCCCCGGGUGGGCGCCGGGGGUCCCCAGGGUCCGGUCCUGUCCUCCUCCGCGGGGCCCCUGCACCCCCCCCACCCCGGCUUCCAGCGUUUGCUUUCGGGUGCUGCCUUUCCAGUCCCGGCGCAGAAUUCCUGAGACGAGGCCGUGCCGGGAUGUCCCAAACCCUCUCCGCCACCUCCCGUCGCUGCCGGUCCCCUAUGCUGGCCGGCUGCUGCCUGGGCUCUCCCGACCCGGCAGCUCAGCAGAGUCCCACGCGCACCCGCUUGCCUGCCCGGCACCCGCUCCGUUCCCGGCUGGAUUCGCCUGCUUCCAGAGGAAGAUGAGUUUGGGGGAUGCCCGGCUCCGCAGGGACCUGUCACCCUCGCCCCAGGUGCUCCAGGGACCUGCCACCCUCACCCUGGGCUCCCGACCGUGCAGGGACCUGCCACCAUCUCCCCAGGUGCCCAGGGUGCCCCAGGCACCUGCCACCCUUGUCCUUGGGUGUCCUUUGUGCCCCAGGGACCUGCCACCAUCACCUUGGACACCUGACCGUGCAGGGACCUGUCACCAUCAUCCCAGGUGCCCAGUGUGCCCCAGGGACCUGCCACCAUCACCCUGGACACCUGACCAUGCAGGGACCUGUCACCAUCACCCUGGGUGCCCAGUGUGCCCCAGGGACCUGCCAGCAUUGCCCUGGACACCAAGCUGUGCAGGGACCUGUCACCAUCAUCCCAGGUGCCCAGUGUACCCCAUGGACCUGCCACCAUCACCCUGGGCACCUGGCCAUGCAGGGACCUGUCACCAUCACCCCAGGUGCCCAGGGUGUCCCAGGGACCUCCCACCAUCACCCUGGACACCUGGCCAUGCAGGGACCUGCCAGCAUCGCCCCAGGCACGUUGGUUUUCCGGUGAGGAAGAGGGUGGUCUGCGCCUGGUGUCCUCUCGCAGCCCUUGUCCGCGACCCCCAUCCCCUGGUGCCCCCGAAUUGGCAGCGCUUCCCGCGCCCCGUCGCAAGGGGAGCAGGGCUCCCCCCAGUCCCCGGCCCGCCGCGGACCCGGCACACUCACUGCCCUGAGAUCAUUCCCGAAGGAUCUGCUGAUCGCGCCGCGGAUUUGACGGCAACGAGCUCCUCCCCGCRUUGCUUCUCCUUCAAUAAACGGCCUUUCCCGGGCUCCGGGCUCUCCUCCGCGCUCCCGCCAUUCCCAGGGCGCCGGGCCCCACCRAUGCUCCCAGCUCCCGGCUCGUUCUGCCCCGGCAGGAGACAGGGGGUCUCUGCUGGGGCCGGAGCCUGGGGACAUCGGGGACGUCCCCAGCCGGGGCCCGGUGCAGAGCCCAGGGCCCCCGUGCAGCCCUCGUGCCUGCCGGGUGCCAGCGCUGAGUGCCUCGGCGGGGGGACACAGGGACGUGGGGUGGCACCGGGACAUUGCAGGGGUGGGCAGGGGACGUGGAAGAGGUGGCACGGGGAUGUGCGGUGGCACUGGGGCAUGGGGGUGGCACGGGGACAU
Molecule: long non-coding RNA, 1488 nt
Filed under: Apteryx haastii (Great spotted kiwi)
Lineage: Eukaryota; Metazoa; Chordata; Aves; Apterygiformes; Apterygidae
Description: lncRNA (ENSAHAG00000001858.1)
Source: RNAcentral